RNAcentral lists this transfer RNA (74 nucleotides) under seawater metagenome. Its description in RNAcentral is "tRNA-Arg". It matches the Rfam family "tRNA". From Rfam's summary of the family: Transfer RNA (tRNA) molecules are approximately 80 nucleotides in length. Their secondary structure includes four short double-helical elements and three loops (D, anti-codon, and T loops). The record is from RNAcentral.
GCGCGCGUAGCUCAAGUGGACAGAGCACAGCCUUCCUAAGGCUGGGGUCGGGGGUUCGAAUCCUCCCGUGCGUA